GAGAUUGAAUUUUUGAAAAAGCC
This 23-nucleotide non-coding RNA is filed under the name Mus musculus (house mouse). The record is from RNAcentral. Lineage: Eukaryota; Metazoa; Chordata; Mammalia; Rodentia; Muridae.